GAAAAACAUGCUAAACAGCUUCUGGCGAUCCAGUAUGCAGCCUCGUAUAUUUGAGACUUUGUGACUCGGAAUAUAUGAUUUCCGUGCUCAACAUGUUGAAGAGUUAUGUCAUUCUUCUGAAAGGCAGCAGAAUAUAAAUUAGAAGUCACCUGAAACAAGCGAAUAGAAAUUAUAAUCUGAAAGCUUCAAUACAGCAUGAAGGGUGUAUCAAGGUGGAUAAAAAUUACUAUUAUUUUGGAAGAAUGAAACAUAAUGUUGCCCACAGCAAGAAGAAUUGCCUCAGAAUCCAACCUACGACCAUCUGGAUCAUGUGUCAGGAGGAGCUUCUUUAUAAGAUUAUCACGUUGCAUGUUUGAAAUUAAGAAAAAAAAGGAAC
Molecule: long non-coding RNA, 376 nt
Organism: Vigna unguiculata (cowpea)
Lineage: Eukaryota; Viridiplantae; Streptophyta; Magnoliopsida; Fabales; Fabaceae
Source: RefSeq, a predicted model, not a curated record